This 259-nucleotide ribosomal RNA is filed under the name uncultured bacterium. Its description in RNAcentral is "partial small subunit ribosomal RNA". It matches the Rfam family "Bacterial small subunit ribosomal RNA", at positions 26 to 285 of the family's 1533-position model. The record is from RNAcentral.
AGAAUCAACGCUGGCGGCGUGCCUAACACAUGCAAGUCGAACGAGAAAGUGGAGCAAUCCAUGAGUAAAGUGGCGACCGGGUGAGUAACACGUGACUAACCUACCUUCAAGUGGGGGAUAACCUCGGGAAACCGGGCUAAUACCGCAUAACAUCUUUGGAGUGGAAAUUCUGGAGAUCAAAGGAGUAAUUCGCUGGAGAGGAGUUCGCGGCCGAUUAGCUAGUUGGCGGGGUAAUGGCCCACCAAGGCGAUGAUCGGUA